Molecule: ribosomal RNA, 534 nt
Filed under: Hyloxalus bocagei (spotted rocket frog)
Lineage: Eukaryota; Metazoa; Chordata; Amphibia; Anura; Dendrobatidae
Description: partial 16S ribosomal RNA
Rfam family: Bacterial large subunit ribosomal RNA
Source: RNAcentral
UCAAAAACAUCGCCUCCUGAUACUACCAUAGGAGGUCUAGCCUGCCCAGUGACAUUGUUCAACGGCCGCGGUAUCCUAACCGUGCGAAGGUAGCGUAAUCAUUUGUUCUUUAAAUGAGGACUAGUAUGAACGGCUUCACGAGGGCUAUACUGUCUCCUUUUUCUAAUCAAUGAAACUAAUCUCCUCGUGAAGAAGCGAGGAUACACUUAUAAGACGAGAAGACCCUAUGGAGCUUUAAACAAUUGAAAUACUUGCUUACAAUUUUCAUUCUUCCCGAAAACAUUACUCAACUAAGCACUUUAUUCAUAGUUUUAGGUUGGGGUGACCACGGAGUAUAAAUCCACCUCCAUGCUGAAAGAAGUUUUUCUUCUUAUCAAAGAGCUUCAGCUCAAUGCAUCAAUAAAUUGACUCCCAUUGACCCAAUAUUUUUGAUCAACGAACCAAGUUACCCUAGGGAUAACAGCGCAAUCUAUUUCAAGAGCUCAUAUCGACAAAUAGGUUUACGACCUCGAUGUUGGAUCAGGGUAUCCUAGU